RNAcentral lists this ribosomal RNA (253 nucleotides) under uncultured bacterium. RNAcentral's name for it is "partial 16S ribosomal RNA". It matches the Rfam family "Bacterial small subunit ribosomal RNA", at positions 524 to 776 of the family's 1533-position model. The record is from RNAcentral.
UACGGGGGGGGUAAGCGUUGUUCGGAAUUACUGGGCGUAAAGGGCUCGUAGGCGGCCAACUAAGUCGGACGUGAAAUCCCUCAGCUUAACUGGGGAACUGCGUCCGAUACUGGAUGGCUUGGAUUUGGGAGAGGGAUGCGGAAUUCCAGGUGUAGCGGUGAAAUGCGUAGAUAUCUGGAGGAACACCGGUGGCGAAGGCGGCAUCUUGGACCGGUAUUGACGCUGAGGCGCGAAAGCUAGGGGAGCAAACGGG